RNAcentral lists this ribosomal RNA (305 nucleotides) under uncultured bacterium. RNAcentral describes it as "bacterial SSU rRNA". It matches the Rfam family "Bacterial small subunit ribosomal RNA", at positions 335 to 657 of the family's 1533-position model. The record is from RNAcentral.
CACCUACGGGGGGCAGCAGUGGGGAAUAUUGCACAAUGGGGGAAACCCUGAUGCAGCAACGCCGCGUGAGUGAGGAAGUAUUUCGGUAUGUAAAGCUCUAUCAGCAGGGAAUAGAAAAGAAGGUACCUGAAAAAGAAGCCCCGGCUAACUACGUGCCAGCAGCCGCGGUAAUACGUAGGUGGCAAGCGUUAUCCGGAUUUACUGGGUGUAAAGGGCGUGUAGGCGGGGACGCAAGUCAGAUGUGAAAACCACGGGCUCAACCUGUGGCCUGCAUUUGAAACUGUGUUUCUUGAGUACUGGAGAGG